RNAcentral lists this ribosomal RNA (1474 nucleotides) under Lactiplantibacillus plantarum. RNAcentral's name for it is "bacterial SSU rRNA". It matches the Rfam family "Bacterial small subunit ribosomal RNA". The record is from RNAcentral. Lineage: Bacteria; Bacillati; Bacillota; Bacilli; Lactobacillales; Lactobacillaceae.
ACAUGCAAGUCGAACGAACUCUGGUAUUGAUUGGUGCUUGCAUCAUGAUUUACAUUUGAGUGAGUGGCGAACUGGUGAGUAACACGUGGGAAACCUGCCCAGAAGCGGGGGAUAACACCUGGAAACAGAUGCUAAUACCGCAUAACAACUUGGACCGCAGGUCCGAGUUUGAAAGAUGGCUUCGGCUAUCACUUUUGGAUGGUCCCGCGGCGUAUUAGCUAGAUGGUGGGGUAACGGCUCACCAUGGCAAUGAUACGUAGCCGACCUGAGAGGGUAAUCGGCCACAUUGGGACUGAGACACGGCCCAAACUCCUACGGGAGGCAGCAGUAGGGAAUCUUCCACAAUGGACGAAAGUCUGAUGGAGCAACGCCGCGUGAGUGAAGAAGGGUUUCGGCUCGUAAAACUCUGUUGUUAAAGAAGAACAUAUCUGAGAGUAACUGUUCAGGUAUUGACGGUAUUUAACCAGAAAGCCACGGCUAACUACGUGCCAGCAGCCGCGGUAAUACGUAGGUGGCAAGCGUUGUCCGGAUUUAUUGGGCGUAAAGCGAGCGCAGGCGGUUUUUUAAGUCUGAUGUGAAAGCCUUCGGCUCAACCGAAGAAGUGCAUCGGAAACUGGGAAACUUGAGUGCAGAAGAGGACAGUGGAACUCCAUGUGUAGCGGUGAAAUGCGUAGAUAUAUGGAAGAACACCAGUGGCGAAGGCGGCUGUCUGGUCUGUAACUGACGCUGAGGCUCGAAAGUAUGGGUAGCAAACAGGAUUAGAUACCCUGGUAGUCCAUACCGUAAACGAUGAAUGCUAAGUGUUGGAGGGUUUCCGCCCUUCAGUGCUGCAGCUAACGCAUUAAGCAUUCCGCCUGGGGAGUACGGCCGCAAGGCUGAAACUCAAAGGAAUUGACGGGGGCCCGCACAAGCGGUGGAGCAUGUGGUUUAAUUCGAAGCUACGCGAAGAACCUUACCAGGUCUUGACAUACUAUGCAAAUCUAAGAGAUUAGACGUUCCCUUCGGGGACAUGGAUACAGGUGGUGCAUGGUUGUCGUCAGCUCGUGUCGUGAGAUGUUGGGUUAAGUCCCGCAACGAGCGCAACCCUUAUUAUCAGUUGCCAGCAUUAAGUUGGGCACUCUGGUGAGACUGCCGGUGACAAACCGGAGGAAGGUGGGGAUGACGUCAAAUCAUCAUGCCCCUUAUGACCUGGGCUACACACGUGCUACAAUGGAUGGUACAACGAGUUGCGAACUCGCGAGAGUAAGCUAAUCUCUUAAAGCCAUUCUCAGUUCGGAUUGUAGGCUGCAACUCGCCUACAUGAAGUCGGAAUCGCUAGUAAUCGCGGAUCAGCAUGCCGCGGUGAAUACGUUCCCGGGCCUUGUACACACCGCCCGUCACACCAUGAGAGUUUGUAACACCCAAAGUCGGUGGGGUAACCUUUUAGGAACCAGCCGCCUAAGGUGGGACAGAUGAUUAGGGUGAAGUCGUAACA